RNAcentral lists this microRNA (20 nucleotides) under Mus musculus (house mouse). Its description in RNAcentral is "microRNA miR-L-30". Lineage: Eukaryota; Metazoa; Chordata; Mammalia; Rodentia; Muridae. The record is from RNAcentral.
GUACUUAGUAGAGCAGCCAC